Molecule: long non-coding RNA, 1044 nt
Filed under: Equus caballus (horse)
Lineage: Eukaryota; Metazoa; Chordata; Mammalia; Perissodactyla; Equidae
Description: lncRNA (ENSECAG00000049482.1)
Source: RNAcentral
CUAACUUCGGCGUCCUGAGGGGAGGCCCCGCGAGGCAGCCACCAGGGAAGCCUGAGGAGACGGCGCUGGGGCGCCGGGCCGGAGCGGCCCGCCCGGAGCGCGCGCGGAGCCCUGACCGCACACCCCGCGCCGCGGGCCGGGUCCGAGAGGCGAGCGGGCUGAGUCCCUGCCCUCCGGGAACGACGACGGUUGAGCUGCUUCCUAGAGGGCAAAUCUGGCAGAGGGCAAAUGAAAGGAGAACGAAUUGCGAAGUAUUUAUGUUGAUGGACCAUGAAGUCGAUCAUGGAGAGGGAGAAAAUAAAGGCAACAGGUUGCUCAUGGACAGGGAAAAGUGGAAGAAUCAAUGGACUGGACAAGGUCAUUGAAUGGCCUAUCCACACAGAUGUCUGAGUCUCUCAUAGAUUCCCCCCUUCAAAAUCUCUGCCCUGGGCCCCAUCCAGCCCCUUCCCCAGCCUCCAGAGGAUCUGCAUUCACACUUCAACUUAAGCCUCAGAUCCCAAAAGGGUAACGAUGCACUGGGCCUGAAGCCAGAAUGGGGUAGUUAGAGAGGGCUCUAGUGGACAUCUGUUUUGUUUUAUUUCGUUUUGUUUUGAUGCCAGCACGCAUGCAUCUUUCUGGAAAAAGUAUGUCAAUGUCCUCUGGAGGAACUACCCAUUUCUUCAGUCUCAGUGCACGAGCAGGUGGAGUGCUCUUGCCUCCACUUCCUUACUGCAAGGGUGUAUAUGUGACUCAGACCUGUCAAAAGAAGCGUUCUAUUCCCCUGUGAGCAGUUCAGUGAGUAGUUCAGUGAUGGAUACCUAACCAACCAACUGGAACCCAUAAGGCACAAGAUUGUCAGAGCAACACCACAUUUUCAGCUUCACUUGAACCUGCUACCACACAAAACCUUAGAAUAAAUCAGCACAGAAGACAGAGAGCCAAGAAAUAGAAACUGAAUCCUGAUGACAUUGAGUUGAGUGCCUACAUCAGUCCUACUACCUGAAGCCAGUCCUACUCCUGGACUGUUCAGUUAUAAAUCAGUACAUUCCCAUUGUGUUUACAUCU